GUUGCCGUGCUAAUCACAUGACCCUGUCAGAAUAAUAACUUGACAACUCGGUGACUCCACAAAAAAAAUUAAAGAUAACACAGUACAAAACAGACCAUAGACCAGCAAAUAUGUACGCUCAACUAUUGCCAGGAAUGAAUGAUUCAUCAAUAACCGAGUAACAGGACCAGCGUGGGAAAGGAGCCGUUUUAUAACGGUGAUGGAUCGAAUGUGAUGAAUAGCAAUAACUAAGUGUCUAUAACUAUAGCUCGUGUAUCUCCAAUGAUGGUCUUGUUUUCUUUAUUUCUUUUCCUCUGUCAUAGGGAACGCUGUUGCGACGGGCCACGCCGCACCCCGGAGAGCUGAGGAGCAUGAAGAAGGUGGUGGAGAAUCUCCACCACGGUCUGAACGCUGCCAAAGGCCUGGACUCCAACAAAAACGAGCCUGUGCUGUCUCUGCCUUGCUGUGUGAGGUGGCAGAAUGUGGAGGAGGAGAGAUGGAGUUUGAUGUUGCACUUGGUCAAGAGAAGCUGACUGAAACAAGCCUACAGCUUACACACCUACUGCCAGCUGGGUAUAUACCGGUGCUGAUGGAGGACCGGCAGAGCGAGGCGGUGUACCUAGAGAUCAGUCCUCUUUUCCUCCAGGCCGAGAACAAACACAAACUCUUCCAGUUCGUCUCGCAGUUCCUCUAAGGCUGACGCAGGAGAAACACACGUCUACACCGCUCUAGGUUUAGUUACAAAAUAUCAGUGUUUCUGGUAAUUCGCUUGGAGCAAGAU
Molecule: long non-coding RNA, 760 nt
Organism: Ictalurus punctatus (channel catfish)
Lineage: Eukaryota; Metazoa; Chordata; Actinopteri; Siluriformes; Ictaluridae
Exons: 3
Source: RefSeq, a predicted model, not a curated record